AAAGGGAGACCUAAUUCAGGUAGGAGACGAAAAAAAGUAGUCCCUACCAAGAAUCAAUCCCAAAAGGUCGGAGCGAGGCAAAAUUGGCUUUCAAACUAGGUUCUGGGUUCACAUAAGACCUGAAUCGGGAACAAGGGCUAUUAGCUCAGGUGGUUAGAGCGCACCCCUGAUGAGGGUGAGGUCCCUGGUUCGAGUCCAGGAUGGCCCACCUGCACAGGUGGCAAAAACAAGAGAAGCGAGGAAUCAGCACCUUAUCUUAUAUACAUAUAUAAGAGAGAAUGCUGGCUCUGAGUACAGAGUCCAGAGGAACCUUGAAAACUGCAUAGAGCUAGGUGAAAAAGCCAAAAAAGAAGACCGCAAG
This 361-nucleotide transfer RNA is filed under the name uncultured Microcystis sp. RNAcentral's name for it is "partial 16S-23S ribosomal RNA intergenic spacer". The stretch from base 135 to 208 matches the Rfam family "tRNA". Lineage: Bacteria; Bacillati; Cyanobacteriota; Cyanophyceae; Chroococcales; Microcystaceae. The record is from RNAcentral.